Beta vulgaris subsp. vulgaris (sugar beet) is the source of this 1382-nucleotide long non-coding RNA. RefSeq lists it as uncharacterized. NCBI's taxonomy places the organism in Eukaryota, Viridiplantae, Streptophyta, Magnoliopsida, Caryophyllales, Amaranthaceae. The transcript is spliced from 3 exons. The record is from RefSeq and is a predicted model, not a curated record.
CGACAAUCUGUUACCUUUAUGGUCUUUGCAAGUUUGGCGUUGUUACCUUUAUUUCUCUCUCCUCUGUUUUUAUUCCGACAAUCUGUUGCCCCAAUUAUCUAUAAUAUGCAAUCCAAUUUUUCCCUUUGUUGCUGAAUCAAAGAUGUAUAUAACUUCGAGCUAAUGAAUUUGGGCACAAAAAUCACUUGAUUUGGAGUUCGGAGCUAUGAGUUAUGGUCCUUGUAAGUUUGGUGUUGCUACCUUCAUUUCUCUCUCCUCUGUUUUUAUUCCGACAAUCUGUUUCCUCAAUUAUCUACAACAUGCAAUCUAAUUUUGCUCUUUGUUUCUGAAUCAAAGUUGUAGAUCACUUCGAGCUAAUGAAUUUGGGCACAAAAAUCGCUCAAUUCGGAGUUCGGAGCUAUGAGUUACACCUUACACAAGUUCAGCACUGCUGCUGUACUUUGUGUUGCGCUGCUGUCAUGGUUGGCUUGUUUGCCCAUGUUGUCAUUGCCAACUUAUUUGCCUUAGCUUGUUGCUGCCAUUGUUUUGGUAUUCCUUUCCAUAUGAAGGUCAUUGUUGGAGUAUGUAUAUGGAGAUAAAUUAUGAAGUUCGAGCUAUAGUUGGUUAUCUAGAAUGUCGAAUUAUUGGGAAUUCUUUCAAGGGUUCAUUGUUAGUGAUUUUGCAGGGUUGAUGUCAAGGUCUUGGAAUAUGAUUACUGAUCAAGAAGAAGAUUUUUAUGCUAUGAAAUGUAGCCUGAGGUUAAAGUUAGAUGCUUUGUUUGGAAGUAUUCAUAACCUGUUAUUUGAUUUUCAAGUUGUUAUGUUGUGGGCCCCUGACCCACAGAUCCAGGAUCGUUUUUAUAGGUUUUGUUUCCACUAUGAAUAAAUGUAAAUUCGAGGUUUGUUAAUUGUUGAUUGUGUAUCUUAAGUGUGAUUAGUUAGCAGCUCGAAAGUGCGGGCUGUUACACAUGCCCACUAACUAUUGGAGAUGGAUUGAGUGACCCAAAGAUUGCCAACCUUCUUAGUAUUGAAUUUUCAUUGUUAGGAAUACAUUAAAACAUUAUUUUUAUAUCUCUUCUCUCCUCAUUUAUUACAUACAUGUCAAUAUUUUAUUCUAAUGUGUCUAAGAGUGUUGGCAAUCCUAAGGGUUACUUAAACAUUUUCCCUAACUAAAACUCCCUUCGUCCCAAUUUAGGUUUUCGCUCAUGGUACACCCGCAUGGUACACCAGGGGUAUUUUGUAAUAAAUUAGAACUUCAGGUGCUUAUUUGACACCAAAUUUGCUCAUAUGGGCAUUUUGCUCAUUUACUCAUUUGCUCAUUUUGCUCAUUUUGUAAUAAAAGUGUUUGCUCAUUUUCUUAAAUGAGUAGAAAUGUUUGCUCAUUUGUUCAUUUUACUCAUUUGC